Molecule: non-coding RNA, 91 nt
Organism: Paramarasmius palmivorus
Lineage: Eukaryota; Fungi; Basidiomycota; Agaricomycetes; Agaricales; Marasmiaceae
Source: the annotation of a GenBank genome assembly
GCGGAGAUGUGGUGUAGCUGGUUACACGGCUGUGCGAUGCCAAAACAUUUGGCUGACGCAGCAGACGCAGGUUCGAAUCCUGCCCUCUGCG